This 709-nucleotide ribosomal RNA is filed under the name uncultured soil bacterium. RNAcentral describes it as "bacterial SSU rRNA". It matches the Rfam family "Bacterial small subunit ribosomal RNA", at positions 755 to 1463 of the family's 1533-position model. The record is from RNAcentral.
GAAAGCGUGGGGAGCAAACAGGCUUAGAUACCCUGGUAGUCCACGCCGUAAACGGUGGGCACUAGGUGUGGGACUCAUUCCACGAGUUCCGUGCCGAAGCUAACGCAUUAAGUGCCCCGCCUGGGGAGUACGGCCGCAAGGCUAAAACUCAAAGGAAUUGACGGGGGCCCGCACAAGCGGCGGAGCAUGCGGAUUAAUUCGAUGCAACGCGAAGAACCUUACCUGGGCUUGACAUAUACCGGAAACACCUAGAGAUAGGUGCCCCGCAAGGUCGGUAUACAGGUGGUGCAUGGCUGUCGUCAGCUCGUGUCGUGAGAUGUUGGGUUAAGUCCCGCAACGAGCGCAACCCUCGUCCUAUGUUGCCAGCACGUAAUGGUGGGGACUCAUAGGAGACUGCCGGGGUCAACUCGGAGGAAGGUGGGGAUGACGUCAAGUCAUCAUGCCCCUUAAGUCCAGGGCUUCACGCAUGCUACAAUGGUCGGUACAAAGAGCUGCGAAACCGCAAGGUUAAGCGAAUCUCAAAAAGCCGGCCUCAGUUCGGAUUGGGGUCUGCAACUCGACCCCAUGAAGUCGGAGUCGCUAGUAAUCGCAGAUCAGCAACGCUGCGGUGAAUACGUUCCCGGGCCUUGUACACACCGCCCGUCAAGUCAUGAAAGUCGGUAACACCCGAAGCCGGUGGCCCAACCUUUUGGAGGGAGCCGUCGAAGGU